ACAAGUAAAUAUGGUAUGGACAUCCCAUGAACCAAAACUCGUCUUCUUCUGCGCAACGUUAUCUGACGUCAUGUGGAGUGAAUGACCUUCCACUUCUGUGUUGACAUCUGAUGUCAAAUAUCAAUUUUAAGGGUUAUGAGGCAGUUAUGAGUUUUUGUGGUUAUGAGGGUUAUUGUUUAUUGUUACCAAACUGAUGCGUAAAAACAAAUUGGUGGUUUGCUAGCGACCUAGCGUUGUUAAAAAAAUAGCGGGGAUGAUAGCAAAUAAUAAGUAAAUAUGUAUAUUUCAGCCGAAGAUACUCUGCAGAAUAAAAAUUGUGAAACAUUGCAAAUUGUUUUUACACUGAUUGUGAACAGUAAUAAUAAUUGUACAAAGAAUCUCGUACAUUUGGCCCAUGAUAGGCCAGAAAUAAAGUUUCCAUCGCUUUUGCAAUUUGUAAAAAUUCUGGCGAUGGCUGUAUUAAUUGCCCUUUGGAUAUAAAUUGAAUCCAAUCAGAAGUAGAUGUAGAAGCUACAACAUUCUGUGAUGAGACACCAAGAUGAGAAUAUUUUGUACGAAAACGAUGGGCAACAUAUCCAGCGAGAUACCGGAGACCUUCAUCGCUAACAAUGGUGGAUGGUAAAGAGACAUGAAUAUCAGAGUCAUUAUCAGUGAACUGCAAAUGUGCAAAAUCGUCAAAAUCUUGAUUGCCUGACCAUUCGUUUGAAGUACCGAUUAAUGAUGUGAAAAGGGGUACUGUCAAACAAACUUCAUUUCCACCUAAUGGUUGAACUAAGUUGCAGGCGUUAUCUUCCUCGCAAUUUUUGUUGUUGCUUAAGGCUCUUGGUGAAUGUCUUCCCAGAAUAUACCAUCUUAAGCGAUGCAUAAAAUCUACUGGAUUUGGUUGGUCAUUGGCAGCACCCAUUGCUCUCAUGUGAGAAAAGAAAUUUUCCAAUACAUCUUGAUUCAAGCGAUGGGUCAAAAUAUAUUCCAGAUUGUAUUGUUCUUUGAGGUGCAAAAACAACUUUUCUAGAGAGCUAUUGCUAACAAUAAUCCCUUUUUGAAAUGGUAACAAACAUUUAUGGCCUUUGACUCUUAGCUUUGUUAUAGUUUCAGUCAUUUUAGAUAAAAGUUGUUGCUGCUUCUGGAGAUCUAAACCAUAGCCGACAACGCCAGUGCGCGAAUAUUUAGAAUUGGUAUUAAAUAGAUCAAACCAGUCAUUAACUAACUCGACAAAGUUGGCAAGUAAAUUAAAAUUCGGAUCAUUAAUUAAAUUAUUCUCCCCACAGUACUUAAUGACAUUUGCUGUGGUGCGAGAAAAUAAUUUAGCCGCCCAUUUCACUUUUUGGCGUUGAGAACGCUUAACAUCUAUUAGGUGUUGGGUAAUUUUAUGACCCAUUUUUAAAUCAGAUGUUUCACCCAGAGCUAAAAAUUGUUCAACCGCGCUCUUUGUCAAGGUUGAAUUUUCGAAAAUAAAUCCAUGAUCUAAAAAAUGGUUCCUUAUCAGUUUUAAAAGAUGUGGAACAUCUGCAAAAACAUAAAUGAGCUUUGUUUCAUCACUAGGAUGGCUAAAACUUGUGUUGCUGGUAUUGAUAUUCAAACAUUUCCAUAGUCUCAUGUUGGUCGUACCCAUAUCGCUUACUAUGGCAGUCACUGUGUACCCACUGUGGUACAACUGUUUUAAUGAAUUAUGUAAUAAUUCUUUGGUAACAGGAGUAUCAAAAUUAUAAAAUAUAGGUUGCUUCCAAUUGGAACACAAACCCCGGGCCAUUAUUACUUGGACUGCCUUGUGCGGCCCAAAAACUUGUUCCUUUGUUUUUAGAAAACAAAUUUGUUUAUUCACAAACAUUUCAUCGAAUGAUAAGACAGUGAGUCUUUCUAAAACUGUUAAGUUUUUGGCUUGUUUCUCCAUGAGAAGAGCCACGUUUUUUAGCAAACCUGGACUUAUAUCAAAAGUAUGGGCCCAUCGUCUGAGAGUUCUCAGAUCAGGGAAUGGAAACUUGCAGGUUUGCCUCAAAUAUCGAUAAGCUUUUGGACUCACACUUCUUAAAGAAAUUGCUGAUGCUAUGUCAUCGGACGACCAACAGACACGUUUCUGUUUAAUUAGGCGCCGUAUCUGACCAGGGGUAAACAGUUUUUUUGAAGCUGUACCAAUCGUCACUAAAUCAUUUUUUUCAUUUAAUUUCUUUACGAGUCGUCUAUUUUCCUCUUCAAUUUUUUCAUUUUCACGCUGUAUGUCAUCAUACUUUUUCUGUAAUGCAUUAAAUUUCUUUUCCCACUCGUUUUCAUAAUUUCUUUGUUUAGUUGUAUCCUCAAAGUCAUUUAGCGGCUGAAUACCAUGUUCCGUUUCUUUUGCUACGUCUGUUACACCAAACAAAUUAACAUGACACUUUUUGCGCGCGUUGAUAUCAACUUUUCGCACUAUUUUUUCCGUUGAGCCGUUUUUAUUUGGCGUAAAAUUGUGUUCGACAGACACUUCCACUUGAUCCGAACUUCCACAAAAUCCACUUUUAUUUGGAGAUAAGGGAAUUUUAAUUGUGGGAAUUGCCGUGGACACUAACCUUCUCCUGUUCUUUGGGCUAUAGCCCAAUAUUAUCUGCUGCAUAGAUUUAUAAUUAAAUUUAUCUUCAAAAUGAAGAGAACAUAUUCGAGCUACAAAGAAAACAAAUCUGUGUGAAUAUUCCACUGUUAAAUGUAAAAUACUUAUGCUGUUACCAUUUUUUGUAUUAACAGGAGGAAUCCUACAAAAUGCUGACCACUGCUCUGAUAGAACAGGAUCCUUCGGAAAUCUAUAAAAGUGAAUUCCUUUGGAUUUCUUUUGGCUGGUGUUACAACCCAUGACUGAACAGUAAGCCAUGUUCCAAGAUUUGUAAUAAACAGGAGAUACAAUAACACAAAAACGACAAACUUAAUUCUUGCAUAUACCUGCUACCUCAACUGUCACAAUGUAGAUAUGACGUUAUAUUUUUGUUUUAAGAACGGUAUAAAGUAAAAGAACUUUUCACAAUAUGUUAAAUAAUUUAUUUCUGUCAUUAAAACAAUUCUAUUUCAUGAUGAAAA
Molecule: long non-coding RNA, 3039 nt
Organism: Zophobas morio
Lineage: Eukaryota; Metazoa; Arthropoda; Insecta; Coleoptera; Tenebrionidae
Exons: 2
Source: RefSeq, a predicted model, not a curated record